GCUCCGGCAGUGCAGGAGUUAGCACGUGUUUCCUGGAAGGAUGUGACGCGGGUUCAACUCCCGCCUAAGGUU
Molecule: non-coding RNA, 72 nt
Organism: Parelaphostrongylus tenuis
Lineage: Eukaryota; Metazoa; Nematoda; Chromadorea; Rhabditida; Metastrongylidae
Source: the annotation of a GenBank genome assembly